Molecule: ribosomal RNA, 466 nt
Filed under: uncultured bacterium
Lineage: Bacteria
Description: partial 16S ribosomal RNA
Rfam family: Bacterial small subunit ribosomal RNA
Source: RNAcentral
GACGAACGCUGGCGGCGUGCUUAACACAUGCAAGUCGAACGGAAAGGCCCUGCUUUUGUGGGGUGCUCGAGUGGCGAACGGGUGAGUAACACGUGAGUAACCUGCCCUCGACUUUGGGAUAACUUCAGGAAACUGGGGCUAAUACCGGAUAGGAGCUCCUGCUGCAUGGUGGGGGUUGGAAAGUUUCGGCGGUUGGGGAUGGACUCGCGGCUUAUCAGCUUGUUGGUGGGGUAGUGGCUUACCAAGGCUUUGACGGGUAGCCGGCCUGAGAGGGUGACCGGCCACAUUGGGACUGAGAUACGGCCCAGACUCCUACGGGAGGCAGCAGUGGGGAAUAUUGCACAAUGGGCGGAAGCCUGAUGCAGCAACGCCGCGUGCGGGAUGACGGCCUUCGGGUUGUAAACCGCUUUCGCCUGUGACGAAGCGUGAGUGACGGUAAUGGGUAAAGAAGCACCGGCUAACUACG